Molecule: long non-coding RNA, 7487 nt
Organism: Hippocampus zosterae (dwarf seahorse)
Lineage: Eukaryota; Metazoa; Chordata; Actinopteri; Syngnathiformes; Syngnathidae
Exons: 2
Source: RefSeq, a predicted model, not a curated record
UAUGACUUGACCCGGCAGAACAACCGGGGAUCACUUUUGAUGUUCCUUGAACAAAACAUGUUCGCGUUUGCAUUUUCGUGUCAUGACAGGGAACCGUUUUACAUUGUGUAGUCAAUUAGGAUGAUGAUCUCGGUCACCGAGGCAGGUCUAAAGAGCUGCUAAACUGGAACCGCACUGCUCUUAACUCAACUUAAAAUGUAUUUUUAAAUGUGUGGGAGACAAAUCACACCUUCAAAACCUCAGGGUGUGAUGAGUUGAAAGUGGACACAAGGCAAAUACUUGAUUCUAUAAAUUGGAAUGUGAAAAAAAAUGUCAAAAUGCUUCGUCAGGUUGGAAUUGAUGCUUCACAUCAGGAUAAAAAUGUGAACAAUUACUUUGGUGAAUGUUAGCAACCUAUCUUCCAGAUGAUUUCAUUCAUUUUUGGUGGGAAUUUCGGAAUUUAAUUUGUCUUUUAAAAGAAAUUCCAUUCACAGUUCAUCUUGAGAAAAUGUCAGUCACUGUGUGCAUGGCAUGCAAAGUAUGUUGUGGUGUUUACUCGCUGAGUAUGACCUCUUUUUUUCUUCAGGGUUUGAGAUUAGCUUGCUUCCACACAAACAUGUUGGGACUAAGAUGGUUAUCUCAAAUCUUGAAGGUGUGAGGUGAAACGGGGUUAAAUGCAGAUAGAUGAUCCAAUCCUCUUCUUGCUCUUGUUUAUGUAAUACAAACACACUCAUUCACCCGCAUCAAGAAGCAAAACCUAAUCUCACGUUCAAAUACAUAUUUCCAUUUUAGGAAGCCUCUCUACAUUCACAAUACUUAAUGAAUUUCUUUGCACAAAAACAAAUUAAUCACAAACACCUGGCUGUGUGUGUGUGUGUGUGUGUGUGUGUGUGUGUGUGUGUGUGCGCGCGUAUUGGUGGGGGUUUAAGUGCGCUGUGGGCCCAAGGCGUCGAUAGUAAGAUCAUUAAAAGUAAGAGAAGCUAAUCCUGGGCGCAUUAAGGGAGUUGGCUGUGAAAUGGGCACACACGUCGCACAGCUAAAGAAAACAGGAUAAUUGAAUUGACCUGGGUCACUGCACGGAUUACCAGUGCGUCCUCACUAUCCUAAGCUCCACCCCCUCUCUGCGGGAUUUAGGGAAGGACCUCUGGAAAGGGCGUGCAGACAAAAAAAGGUAGACAUAUUGAAGAGAGUGUUGGGUAAUGCGAGAGAAAAUAAAAGUAUAGGAGUAGAGGAGAGGAUUUUUUUUUUGUCCUCAGUAAUAUCGUUCCUCCACUUUCAUUUCGUCUUGAGAUACAUAUUACUUACCAAUCAAUGACUUAUUGGGGGCAGGUUUUAAUUUUUAUGCUUCCAAUCUUGUGGGAACACAUUGGGGUUGUUGUUCCAGCAUGUCUGUGAGUGAGUUUGUGUGUAGGGGCGGAUGAGCUCAGAGAGGUAAGGUGGCGCGAGAUUAUUCAGAGAUUUGAAAACAAAGAGGAGGAUCUUCAAAAUAACUAAAAUGAAUGGGGAGCCAGUGAAGGGAUGCCAGAGUAGGAGUUAUGUGCUCCCUCUUACGAGUACCAGUCAAGAGGCGAGCAGCGGCAUUCUGGACCAGCUGAAGGUGCUUAAUGGAGGAUUGGCUGACUCCAGCCAAGCAGAUAAAGUAAGCAAGCAGGCUGACUCCAAAGUAAAGGGCAUUGCAGUAAUCGAGCUGGGAUGUGACAAAGGCAUGAAUUACUGUCUCAAAGUGUUCUUGUGAGAGGAGAGGUUUUUUUUGGCCAGCUGUCUUAAGGUGAAAGAAGCUGGAUUUAACAACGGCACCAAUUUGUCGAUCGAGUUUGAAAUCACUGUCCAGUUUAAGGCCCACGUUUGAGACCGUUGAUUUCAGAUAAGGAGACAGGGGGCCCAAGUCUACAGGGUGGUAUGUACAAGGGCCACUGGGACCAAACAAUAUCACCUCUGUCUUGUUUUCGUUGAAUUUCAAGACAUUUUGUGCCAAACAGGUUUUGAUUUCUUCCAGACAGGAUAGGAGUGGCAUCUUUCUUGCUCAGUGGGACAUAGAACUGGCAGUCAUCUGCAUAGCAGUGGAAGGGAAUACCAUGUUUCCUUAAGAUGCAACCCAAUGGGAGCAGAUACAGAGAGAACAGCAGAGGCCCCAGAAUUGAGCCCUGUGGAACACCACAUGACAGGGGAGCAGUGCGUGACUCAGAGCAGCCAAGGCUGAUACAAAAGUUUCUGUCAGCUAGAUAGGACCAUUCAGUACAGUACAGGAGUACAGGUAGAAGUUGCGUUGCUUUCAAAAAACAUUGGUGGUUUGAAAGAAUGAUUGGACUUUGUGUGACACAAUCGGACAAAAAUUUGAAAUUUUUGGCAUUUCUAUCGACUUGAAAUAUGAGCUUUGUAUUUCUGUGGCCACGCUCGUAACUCAAAACACUCAAAUCUUCAGUCAUCUUUACCCAUUGGAAUGAAUGGAAAUUCUCUCUCUCUUUCUCUCUCUCUCUCUUGUGCAUCGUCUCUCUAGAAUGAGAAAAGUAAGUAAGAGUGGUACCUCUACUUAUGAAAUUAAUUGGUUCUUGAAGAACAUUUUUAAACAGAAAUUUUUGUAAUCAGAAACGCGUUUUCCAUGUAAAUGCCCUAAUUCGUUCCAAAAACCCCCAAAUUCAGACAUAAAUUUUUCCUCAAGCAUAAAAAUGCAUCAAAAUAUGUAACAAAUACAUGUUACAAUUAGAUCAUUGCACAAUAAAUGACAUUGUGCAUAAUUUGAAAAAAAAUAAUUGAGUAAGGAAUAAAAAUAAUAAUAACAAUACAUUUCAUUUUAUAAGCACCUUUCAAAACACUCAAAGACACCUUACAUUAAAAAAAAGAAUUAAAAAACUGAUAAAAUUAUAAAUAAUAAAAGGAGAGAUGAAUUUAAACUGAGUAUGCGAUUUUAAAUAGGUGGGUUUUGACAUGUGAUUUGAAUGUGGGAAGAGAAUCAAUAUUUCGGAUGUCGGGUGGGAGUGAGUUCCAGAGUUUGGGGGCAGAGCGGCUGAAAGCUCUGCACCCCAUCCUGCUGAGACGGGCCGAGGGUACACAGGAUUUCCUGGACAAGAAAACCCCUCCCAGCAAGCGAAAGAAUGUCGAAUAGUCCGAAGCCAACGCCGGCUACAUCGCUGCCGCGAUGAACAUCAACUGACCUAGCCAGGCCGGCUAACACGCUGUGGUCCGUGGAUCCGCCGUGGAUGCACCUCCGGAAAGGACGAGGAGCGAUGCCCGGAAAGUGGUGGUUUUAAGUCAUAGUUUUUUGCCCUCUUUAGUUCAUGUUCCCUAUCAGAAGUGUUUUCUCCCUUUUUUGUAAAAAAACGAUCCAAGGACACGUGAACACUUUUUCUGGGUGAUCUACAUUUACGAAAAUCGGGACGCCUCAUAUCCCGAAGGGCAAAUGAUGAGGAUGCUGCAUAGACACAUCUAUCUGUUGAUCUAGCUAUACUCGUAGACACAUACAGUAUAAGUCCCUCUAAGCCAAUGAGAUGCCAUGAUGAUGCUCGGUAACAGCCAAUGGCAGAGCAGCUAGAAAUAUGUUGGGUUGAGGAAACUCUGAGCUGCGAGUAGUAGUCCAUGCUGUAUUUUUACCUUUUUUAUCUUGUAAUGUCCUUUAUAACAAGAAGCAAUAUUUUCCUGUUGAGACGUUUCGUAACUUGAAAAUUUCGCAUGAAGAGACGUAAGUAGAGGUGCCACUGUACACAGAUAUAAUAUUUUCUAAAAGGCUUUAAUAAUACAAUAUAAAGACACUAAAUAUGAAAUAGUCAUUGAAACGCAUCAUGUUAUGAAUAUAUAGGGCCACCACAGCAUGGCCACCACCCAAACAGGCUUUGCGUAGAACCACGGACAGUUAGGUUAUUCUUUCUUUGUGCUCGGAGAGUGUUGAGAGUUUUUUUUUCUUCCCUGAACAGGUUUUGUGAGGUCAUUAUUGUUUGAGGAGCACAUAGACCCUUCACUGGGGGUGGAGAGGGGGCGGGGGGUGAUUUGAUGUCAGAGCUUUCUUCUGUUCUGUCAUGUCAAGCCAGUGAACACUAAAAGGGAGAAACAAAAUCUUCACCGGAACAAAAGUGGUUGUCAGCUUAUACUGAGUGACGGUCAAAAAUACACAAGAUCUGUUUAGGCUUAUGCCCACUUAAGUCUUAAGUCUCUGUAAGUAAAGGAUUUUGGCACCUGCAGGAGAUCCGAAUCAGAUGUAAAGGACAUAUGGACAUCCAGGGAAUUAGAAAGUCAUGUAUAGCUCUAUUUUAAGCUACUACAUUCAACACAGAACUGCAAAGAAAGUACAGUGGACCGUCGGAGUACAAUCUCUUUUAAGACUUAAAAAAAAUAAACAUAAAUAUAAAUGGGACCGAGUUUCACUUUGAGUCACAUGUUUUGCAAACAAUAUCUUGUCAGUGACAUUUUCUUUUGUAUUAACAUCAUAAAGACAGAAACCUGUCAAAGAAAAUGAAAAAUCCAAAUUAGGAGGUAAGACAUGCCAAUUGAUUGUCUCGUCUUCUUUUUGUUCAAUUUCUGGAGUUGUGAAUGACUUUGGUGAGCUCCAAAGCUUUAGCUUCCAUUACACGUUUGUUGACUGAACCAUUGAAAUUCCAAUAUACCAAUCCACCAUAAUGACAUUUGUGACCAAGCAGAAUCUAUGCUAAUUGUUUUACCAGUGUUACUGUAGAGCAGAGUUGGGCAGAGGAGCCAAAAUUACACUCAAAUAAGAAUACUGUUAAUGUGAAUGUGAAUUAGUCGCUAAUAGUAUAAGGUGGUAGUCCUCUAAAUAAUUUGAGUAGAUCGAAACAGGAUUUAGUGAAAAAAAAUACUGAAGCAUCGAGUAAACGUUGAGUCGCUGAUUGUAACUUAUCUGUUCUGUUUACUUUUUAAACACCGUAUUUUCACGACUAUUCGACGCACCGUACGGUUGGGCGCAGUCUCAUUAAUGGGUGACAUUUCUGUAUUUUACACAUAUACAGACCGCACUGUACCAACGGGCGCAGUUUUACAGUGGUAAAACAUACGCCAGCUUAAACAUACAGCAUGCUUGCGCCCACGCUAACACGUUAGCUUGAAGCAUACGGUAGCAUGCCAAGACAUACAGAUACAAGCUAAAAACAUGUUUCUAAAAAGGCAACGAAAGCAGAACUGAGUUCGGGUGUAUUUUAUUUAGCCAUCGUACAAUGUUCUCACGUUUUUCGAUCAAUCACCUCCCAGAAAUCCAUCAAAGUCCUCAUUCUCUGUAUCAGAAGCAGAGGACUGCACAUCCCAGUUGUCACUGAACGCAUCACAUGCUAAAGUGUGAGUUGCUACGCAUUGCCGAGCGGAAAGGAGCAGUAACAGCAAAGUCAACAUUUCUCUCGUGUGAAGCUUUCCCACAUUUGAAAGUAAAGAACAGAGCGAAACAUGGUGGCAGCGUGUGCGUGUGUAGAAAGAAUUGAACAAUUGUGCAAGUACCGUAAUCCAUCAAAAACUCGUUGUUGCGUAUUGUGGCGUAACUCGCCAAGCGCUGCCUCUCACUCUUUGUAAAGUUGUGUUUGCCAGCCAUCCAUUGUUCCCAAGCCGUUCGCAACUUUACUUUGAACGCCCGGUUGAUGCCAAUGUCCAGCGGUUGGAGUUCUUUAGUCAAGCCUCCGGGAAUAACGGCAAGCUCAGAGUUCAUUUGCUUGACUUGGUUUUUCACUGCUGCUGUGAGAUGGGCACGCAUGCCAAAAGCAUAACCGGUGGCUUUAAGUUUGAACUGAGCUUCGUAGGCGUGUCUCUUUGUCGAAUUUAUUUUCAGGGGUUCUUAGAAACCAAAACCGGAGUUGUUUUGCAACAAUGCACAUUGCCACACUCUAUACAAGUGUUGGUACUGGCUUGCGGCGUCCCUUUAGCGUCCACUUACACGCCCACCCUUCACCGUGGACUGCUCCCCAGCUUGCCUGUCCUCUCUCUCUCUCUCUCUCUCUCUCUCUCUCUCUCUCUCUCUAUCUCUCUCUCUCUCUCUCUCUCUCUCUCUCUCUCUCUCUCCCUCUCCAUAUGUGUAUAUAUACACGCCCACCCUUCCCUGAUUGGCUGACUUCUUUCCCGCAUGCCUGGCCACAGUCACUUCCGCCUUUCUCCAUAUAAACAGCGUGUCGGCUGGCAGUCAGAUUUUGGAACUCAGCGCAUAUAAAGGACGCUCCGCACCAUAAGGCGUCCUGUCCAUUUUGGAGAAAAUAUAAGACUUUUAAUGGCGCCUUAUAGUCGUGAAAAUACGGUAGUCAAUUAACCUCAAUUUGAGAAAAACAGAAAAGAGAAAUACACAAAUUCAAUUAUUUCCCAACAAUAUCACUUAAGUAUGAUAUUGCUUUCAUCUAAAAUAACAAAAUAGGGCAAAUUGAGCCACAACAAUUGGUCUUAAGUGACCUUUCCAUGUUUACACAUUUGCCGUAAAACCGCACAAUAGGCAAACUGGCAAAACUCUAUCCGAUAAUGAUUAUUUAUUAUUUUCAUAUGUCCGAUUCAUCGGUUGGGCCCUACAAAAAAUACAAGUAGCAAGCGCAGGCCUGAGGAUUUCACGGUAAUGAUCGUUUCGAGCGUGUUAUUUCCAUGGGAUCAUUUGUAUGGCACGAAAAAUAGUUUCCCAUAAAUGUGAUCCCCUGUGUGAUCAAUGUGAUUUCACUAUGCCUGUACGUGUGUUUGUGGUGUGGUGCGUGAGUGUUUUUCUUCUAUUCUACUUUAGUUUUGUUUUGUUUUUAUUAAGUGGUGGGGGGGGGGGUGGAAUAUGAAACAUUAUGUGCACAUGCGGGUUGCUAUUUUAGUCUGCACGCUGAAAAAGCGCGUGGAUGAUGGAUAGAGAUGGUAGCGAAAAAAAACACCGGUGUAGUCAAGUCAAGUCAAGUCAAGUCAAGUCAAGUCAAGUCAAGUCAACAGUAUUUAUAGAGCACUUUCAAACAGCCAUCGCUGCAUACAAAGUGCUGUACAUGGAGCGAUUUAACAUAUACAAUAAACAGUAAGACGAAUCAGUAACAAGUAAUAAGUAAUAAGGCGGUAGAAAGCACCAAGCAGUAAAACCAAUAGCAAAUCUAAGUCAUGCUGAGUCAAACGCCAAAGAAUACAAGUGAGUUUAGUAGUUACUACAUUUAAGAAAUGGGAAUGCCAGUCGUAUUUUUCUUUCAAAUCAUCUGGAGAAUGAUUGUGUGUGUGUAUGCACAAAACACAAAAGAGAAAUACAAUGGCAGGCACGAGUCUGAGGCAAGUACUUGAAGUUAGUCAUUAGAUCUAAAGGCUAAUCGCUAUGAAAAAUAUUAUGAAACAGUCUUAGUUAUUUUAUAAUUUACUAGUUGAAGACAUGGUAACUUUAUGAAUGAAAUAAAAAUUUGUCCCAAGGUGUAGUAAUAGUCGGUAGAACUAACAAUGACAUGUGGUCGAUUCUUUGAUCAAAUUGAUAGUCGAUUAAACAGUGCGUCGUCUUGGGGUUGCAAGGAGAACGUCAAGCCGUAUCAAUACUGUAAGUCUCUCUCUCUCUCUCUCUCCCUCUCUCUCUCUCUCUCUCUCUCUCUCUCUCU